GUCCCAGUAGUGCAAUGGAUAGCUCGUUGGAUUUCUAAUCCAAAAGGUCGUGUAUAAGAAUCCCACCUGGGAUG
Molecule: non-coding RNA, 74 nt
Organism: Trichonephila inaurata madagascariensis
Lineage: Eukaryota; Metazoa; Arthropoda; Arachnida; Araneae; Nephilidae
Source: the annotation of a GenBank genome assembly